Prinia subflava (tawny-flanked prinia) is the source of this 2303-nucleotide long non-coding RNA. RefSeq lists it as uncharacterized. Lineage: Eukaryota; Metazoa; Chordata; Aves; Passeriformes; Cisticolidae. The record is from RefSeq and is a predicted model, not a curated record. The transcript is spliced from 4 exons.
GAGAAAGCUUAAGGGAUGUGUAAAAUGCCAUGGCAGAAAACAGUCAGGUAGUUAUUUACUUCUAAAGGCAUGGAAGAUGUGAGACCUAAAAGCAAUGAAAGGAAAUAACAUAAUGCAAUAUCCUAUUGAUCUGUGGGAUUUUCUACUGCUUAAGAUGAUGGCACCACAAGCAAUGUUUGUAGUUGUACUAACUAGAAUUAAAAUAAUUAUAGGAUGGAAACAAACCAUGACAAAAACUCCUUAGGGUUUAAAGCUUUCUGCCUCUCACUUGUUGGCUGAUGGGGUCCAGGGGUUUCUGCCAUUGUUGAAUAUUGCUGCAAUGCCCAGUUAUAUGUGCUGUGAGGGUUUUGUGUCUCACUCUGGAGCCACUGGUAACAUUUCCUGGGUAGGCUGAGUGCCAGGUCCUUGGCUGGCAGAAAUCAAUCAGUGCUGCUGACUCUGGGAACCACCUGCCCCGCCACGGGCUCCCUCCCCUCAGCACCAGUGGGGAGCUCACACAUGAAAUAAAAUCAGGAUAUGUCCAGCUAAGAGGGAAGGAAAGGAAAGAAACCCCUGCUUCUGCUAGGGGGAUAAACAGCCUGGCAUCCCAAAGCAAGACAGGUGCUGAGACUUGGAUAGCACAAGGUAGCAGGGAAGGGGUGGUGUGAUCAGUAGCACAAUUAGUAAAAGAUUCAUUUUAAUUAUGGUGUGUUAACAGAGCUGUAGUGGAAAGCAUUUUCCUUAAUUCAAGCCCUAGUUAAUGCAGGGCUGUAAUCACUAGCCCAGGUGACAGAAUCUGUGUGAGAGCUGGGGGACAGGUGACAGUAAGGACACAGCUCGACCUCUCCCUAAGCACCAUUGCUGUGUGCACUAGAACAGCUUACUUUGAGGAUUCUGCUUUUAUUUCUUCCUUUUUCAGGGUGAAGAGAGGGUCAGGUUCUUCAGAAGCUGGGGAGUGGGCUCCUGGCCUCACCACCCUCAGAGCUUCCAAGGUAUCCAUGUCCAGGCUGAGUACUGAAGGCCUUGCUGCUUGUUUGAAGUAAUAGGUAACAAUUCGGAUGAUUUCUUUUCAGGAUGCAGCAAAGUGCCCAUUACACUUCAGGCCAAAUAUAUUUUCUGCUAUUGGAAAGAAAAAAAAAUUAAAAAUAAAAUCCAGUGACUGGAGGAAUCAGGGAAUUUUUUCAUGGGAAGGUUUGACUACUUUAUCUUGCAUUAAAGCUGAUCAGUGAGGACUCAGGUUGCAUCAUCCUUCAUAAAAAAAAAUCCAGCUCACAGGAACAGCUUCUUCUCCAGUGAUAUCAACUGGAGAUAUCCAGUGCUGCUUCAACAGGCAGGUCCUGGAAACCUCACAGGAAUUUAAAAAAGCCCCAAAGUUACUCCAUCAGCCCUCUGUGAGGUGAUGCAUAACAGUUAUUAAUGAGAACAAGGCAGUCCACAAAAGACUGAUGCCUUUCUUCCUGCAUCCCUGUUUUCUUCCCCCAACCCCAAUAUCCUUCUGUACCCUUGGAUCUUACCAAGCAGUCAUGAAUCAGACCUGUGGGUCUUCUCUUCACAGUAACAAAUGGUCAGGAGGCCAGGUGGGAGCUGAGAUUUGUGCUACAGACUUUCACACAGGCAGGGAAACGGGCUUCAGUUAAAUACUCACAGGACUGGCUGUGGAAAAAAGCCUUAAAAUCUGUCUUCUCGGUUUUCAGCUGCACAUCUAGGAGCAGGCACUCUUAAGGCUCUGCAUUUUUAUCCACCAGCCCAAAAACGUGUGAAGGAACUAUUCCUGUCAGAGCCAGUUUUUAGAAAUCUCUAAAACUAUAAGUUUCUCCAAAGUGUUGCAGUUCAGGACUCUUGGAAAUUCCGCCGUGGCAAUGUGAUCACAGGAGAAGUGGGGGUUGGAAGAAAUUAAAGGGGAUUCUAAUGAAGAAAUACCCAAUUUUGCAGCUUGGACUCAAGAGGUCACAGCAAUGUCCCCCUGUAGUGACCUCUGCAUCUCUGGGUAGCUCAGGAGCCAGCCAGAGCUCACUUUAAGGAACACACCUGUGACCAGGCAUUUUCUGACUCAUUUUCCCUCAGGUACCUCGUUGGAAGGAGGAAAGUUAAUCCCAGACAUGGAAUGGAGAUGGGAAAGGUCUGGACUUCAAGCCAGUGAAGGGGGUUGAGUUUUUUUGUUUGUUUUGAGUGUAAGCAGAGUAGGCCUUCCAUGCUGCUUCACAAAAUGGAUUCAUACCUUUUCCCUUCCAAAGGGAACUAAACCAAAGACUUUUUUAUCUCCCCCACCUAAAUAUUCUCUUGCAAACUUCCUAAAUAAAUUGCAGGUUUACUAAAGGUCCAGC